Bubalus bubalis (water buffalo) is the source of this 807-nucleotide long non-coding RNA. RefSeq lists it as uncharacterized. The transcript is spliced from 2 exons. The record is from RefSeq and is a predicted model, not a curated record. NCBI's taxonomy places the organism in Eukaryota, Metazoa, Chordata, Mammalia, Artiodactyla, Bovidae.
GAAAGGGGCCGAGCCUCGUUCCCACGCUGACAUGUCAUUGGCUGCCGCGGGCGUGGGAGGGCGUGUCAGCGUGCGUGAGGCCGCUCCCUUAAACGCACAGCUCCUGGAGAGGUCUUGGCCUGCGACUUCUGCAGCCUGCCUUCCCCGCUGCGGAGGAGGGGUGGGUGUGGAGGUCUUGAAGAGGGAUCAGGAUAUCUGAGCGGGUCAGCAUAGCAUCCACUAAGCAAAUGAUCAGGAUGUCAAUAGAUUCUAAUUUUCGGCUGCCCUAGGUCUUUGCUGCCGUCUGGCUUUCUCUAGUUGCGGAGAGCGGGGCCUACUGUUUGUUGCGGUGCUCCUACGGCUUCUCACUGCAGUCAGCGGCUUCUCUCGUUGACCAGCGCAGCUCCGGGGCGCUGAGCUUCAGUAGUUACGGCGCUGGGGCUUAGUUGCUCUGCAGACAUGUGGGAUCUUCCCCGAACGGAGAUGGAACCCAUGUACCCUGCAUUGGCAGACAGACUUCCAACCACUGGACCACUAGGGAAAUCCCAGAAAUAUUUCUUUUUUGUUUGUUUGUUGCUUUCUGUCCCUCAGUUACAAAAAGAAAACCCAUCAAGUCAAUCGUGCAUCAUACCCAAAAAGUACUGCCUGGCACACAGUAGAAACACACUCCUAGGCAGUGAAGAAAUAAAAGAAUUCAUCCUAACAAAUUCUCUCUGAUGAAUUUACUAAACUGGAAGAAGUUGGUUUUAGACAGACAUGAAGAGGGUUGCCUUGCUGUUCUCCUGAAAUUAUCACAAUAUAGUUAAUUGGCUAUUCCCUAAUCCAAAA